RNAcentral lists this transfer RNA (87 nucleotides) under Penicillium egyptiacum. RNAcentral's name for it is "tRNA-Cys". It matches the Rfam family "tRNA". From Rfam's summary of the family: Transfer RNA (tRNA) molecules are approximately 80 nucleotides in length. Their secondary structure includes four short double-helical elements and three loops (D, anti-codon, and T loops). Lineage: Eukaryota; Fungi; Ascomycota; Eurotiomycetes; Eurotiales; Aspergillaceae. The record is from RNAcentral.
CGAGCACCGGUAGCUCAUCGGUAGAGCGUGCGAUUGCAAUAUCGGCAGUUAUCGCGAGGUAGCGUGUUCGACCCACGCUCGGUGCUU